Molecule: ribosomal RNA, 429 nt
Filed under: Bacteroidota bacterium
Lineage: Bacteria; Pseudomonadati; Bacteroidota
Description: Bacteroidetes bacterium partial 16S ribosomal RNA
Rfam family: Bacterial small subunit ribosomal RNA
Source: RNAcentral
UAGGGAAUCUUCCGCAAUGGACGCAAGUCUGACGGAGCAACGCCGCGUGAGUGAAGAAGGAUUUCGGUUCGUAAAACUCUGUUGUUAGAGAAGAACAGCGCAUAGAGUAACUGUUAUGCGUGUGACGGUAUCUAACCAGAAAGCCACGGCUAACUACGUGCCAGCAGCCGCGGUAAUACGUAGGUGGCAAGCGUUGUCCGGAUUUAUUGGGCGUAAAGCGAGCGCAGGCGGUCAAUUAAGUCUGAUGUGAAAGCCCCCGGCUCAACCGGGGAGGGUCAUUGGAAACUGGUUGACUUGAGUGCAGAAGAGGAGAGUGGAAUUCCAUGUGUAGCGUUGAAAUGCGUAGAUAUAUGGGGGAACACCAGUGGCGAAGGCGACUCUCUGGUCUGUAACUGACGCUGAGGAUCGAAAGCGUGGGUAGCAAACAGG